CCGGGCAGGAUGUUGUAAAACAAAAGGAAAAAAACGCGAUCAUGCAUAUAUGCAGGUAAACGUAUAUCUCUCCCCUACGUACCUGGGUCUGGGUAUAUAAUUGCGGUGCUUUUAAGACAUGUGAAAUGAGAGAGAGAGAGAUGUGGAAUGUGGAACAAACGGGGUUUUAUCACGGCUCCCCCUGGAGUUCUCAAACCUCUCAAAUUCUCUCAUGUCUUGAGGGUUUUCUUCUUACUUCAGGGUGGAAGACACAUUUCGAAGUAAGAAAAUUAAAUAAAAUUAAAUAGAAAAGAAAUAAUCAUAAU
Molecule: small RNA, 305 nt
Filed under: Histoplasma capsulatum var. duboisii H88
Lineage: Eukaryota; Fungi; Ascomycota; Eurotiomycetes; Onygenales; Ajellomycetaceae
Description: Histoplasma capsulatum H88 hypothetical RNA
Source: RNAcentral